RNAcentral lists this ribosomal RNA (524 nucleotides) under uncultured Fusarium. RNAcentral describes it as "eukaryotic LSU rRNA". The stretch from base 158 to 311 matches the Rfam family "5.8S ribosomal RNA". The record is from RNAcentral. Lineage: Eukaryota; Fungi; Ascomycota; Sordariomycetes; Hypocreales; Nectriaceae.
GAUCAUUACCGAGUUUACAACUCCCAAACCCCUGUGAACAUACCACUUGUUGCCUCGGCGGAUCAGCCCGCUCCCGGUAAAACGGGACGGCCCGCCAGAGGACCCCUAAAACUCUGUUUCUAUAUGUAACUUCUGAGUAAAACCAUAAAUAAAUCAAAACUUUCAACAACGGAUCUCUUGGUUCUGGCAUCGAUGAAGAACGCAGCAAAAUGCGAUAAGUAAUGUGAAUUGCAGAAUUCAGUGAAUCAUCGAAUCUUUGAACGCACAUUGCGCCCGCCAGUAUUCUGGCGGGCAUGCCUGUUCGAGCGUCAUUUCAACCCUCAAGCACAGCUUGGUGUUGGGACUCGCGUUAAUUCGCGUUCCUCAAAUUGAUUGGCGGUCACGUCGAGCUUCCAUAGCGUAGUAGUAAAACCCUCGUUACUGGUAAUCGUCGCGGCCACGCCGUUAAACCCCAACUUCUGAAUGUUGACCUCGGAUCAGGUAGGAAUACCCGCUGAACUUAAGCAUAUCAAUAAGCGGAGGAA